This is a long non-coding RNA of Callithrix jacchus (white-tufted-ear marmoset), 469 nucleotides long. The record is from Ensembl. NCBI's taxonomy places the organism in Eukaryota, Metazoa, Chordata, Mammalia, Primates, Cebidae.
GGAAUCCUUUUAUGCCCCACCUACUGUAAGGAUCACAGAGUACUUAGGCCGGAGUGCAAUGGCACGAUCUCGGCAGAAUCUCAUCACGAUCUCCGCACCAUCUCAGCUCAUGGCAACCUCCACCUCCUGGGUUCAAGAGAUUCUCCUGCUUCAGCCUCCCAAGUAGCUAGGAUUACAGACAUGCACCACCACGCUAAUUUUGUAUUUUCAGUAGAGAUGAGGUUUCUCCAUGUUGGUCAGGCUGGUUUGAACUCACAACCUCAGGUAAUCCACCCACUUCGGCCUCCCAAAGUGCUUGGAUUACAGGCAUGAGCCACCGUGCCCAGCCAAAGGACAAGUCUUUUUAAGAGUAAUGGAAAAUUUAGAAGCCAUUAAUAAAAAGUUUCCUGCACUAAAAAAAAAAGAAAAUAGCCUCUCCUUUCUCUGAACUUUCAAAAUAUGCCUAAACCUUGAUUAAAACAUAUAUCGU